This 482-nucleotide ribosomal RNA is filed under the name uncultured bacterium. RNAcentral's name for it is "partial 16S ribosomal RNA". It matches the Rfam family "Bacterial small subunit ribosomal RNA", at positions 28 to 523 of the family's 1533-position model. The record is from RNAcentral.
GGCGAACGCUGGAGGCGUGCUUAACACAUGCAAGUCGAACGAUGAAAUGGAGCUUGCUCCAUGGAUUAGUGGCGAACGGGUGAGUAACACGUGAAUAACCUGCCCUUAAUUUUGGAAUAACCCAGGGAAACCUGGGCUAAUACCGGAUAAGUAAACCUGUGGCAUCGCAUGGUUUUGGAAAGUUUUUCGAUUAAGGAUGGAUUCGCGGCCUAUCAGCUUGUUGGUGAGGUAAUGGCUCACCAAGGCAACGACGGGUAGCCGGCCUGAGAGGGUGAACGGCCACACUGGGACUGAGACACGGCCCAGACUCCUACGGGAGGCAGCAGUGGGGAAUAUUGCGCAAUGGACGAAAGUCUGACGCAGCGACGCCUCGUGAGGGACGAAGGUCUUCGGAUUGUAAACCUCUUUCAGCAGGGACGAAGCGAAAGUGACGGUACCUGCAGAAGAAGCACCGGCUAACUAUGUGCCAGCCGCCGCGGUAA